CAUUUAAUUUUGAAUUUUGUUGAAAAGCAUACAAUUUUUAGUAUAAAUGGGUACCCUGUAAUAAUUGGGACAUACUUAUACUAAAAAAAAUGAUAUGUUUUCUGGAAUUCAAAAUUAACU
This 120-nucleotide microRNA precursor is filed under the name Dasypus novemcinctus (nine-banded armadillo). Its description in RNAcentral is "miRNA (ENSDNOG00000029920.1)". Lineage: Eukaryota; Metazoa; Chordata; Mammalia; Cingulata; Dasypodidae. The record is from RNAcentral.